CAGUAGCCGCGGGAAUACGUAGGUGGCAAGCGUUGUCCGGAUUUAUUGGGCGUAAAGCGAGCGCAGGCGGUCAAUUAAGUCUGAUGUGAAAGCCCCCGGCUCAACCGGGGAGGGUCAUUGGAAACUGGGAAACUUGAGUGCAGAAGAGGAGAGUGGAAUUCCACGUGUAGCGGUGAAAUGCGUAGAGAUGUGGAGGAACACCAGUGGCGAAGGCGACUCUCUGGUCUGUAACUGACGCUGAGGAGCGAAAGCGUGGGGAGCGAACAGGAUUAGAUACCCCUGUAGUCCCUGUCUCUUAUAC
This 301-nucleotide ribosomal RNA is filed under the name uncultured bacterium. RNAcentral's name for it is "partial 16S ribosomal RNA". It matches the Rfam family "Bacterial small subunit ribosomal RNA", at positions 509 to 807 of the family's 1533-position model. The record is from RNAcentral.